RNAcentral lists this ribosomal RNA (495 nucleotides) under uncultured bacterium. RNAcentral's name for it is "bacterial SSU rRNA". It matches the Rfam family "Bacterial small subunit ribosomal RNA", at positions 30 to 523 of the family's 1533-position model. The record is from RNAcentral.
AUUGAACGCUGGCGGCAUGCCUUACACAUGCAAGUCGAACGGCAGCGCGGGCUUCGGCCUGGCGGCGAGUGGCGAACGGGUGAGUAAUAUAUCGGAACGUACCCAAGAGUGGGGGAUAACGUAGCGAAAGUUACGCUAAUACCGCAUACGAUCUAAGGAUGAAAGCAGGGGAUCGCAAGACCUUGUGCUCCUGGAGCGGCCGAUAUCUGAUUAGCUAGUUGGUGGGGUAAAGGCCCACCAAGGCAACGAUCAGUAGCUGGUCUGAGAGGACGACCAGCCACACUGGAACUGAGACACGGUCCAGACUCCUACGGGAGGCAGCAGUGGGGAAUAUUGGACAAUGGAGGCAACUCUGAUCCAGCCAUCCCGCGUGAAGGAUUAAGGCCCUAUGGGUUGUAAACUUCUUUUCUCUGGGAAUAAAAACCGGGAUUUAUCCUGGCUUGAAGGUACCAGAGGAAUAAGCACCGGCUAACUCCGUGCCAGCAGCCGCGGUAA